UACGAAGGGGGCUAGCGUUGUUCGGAUUUACUGGGCGUAAAGCGCACGUAGGCGGAUUUUUAAGUCAGGGAUGAAAUCCCGGGGCUCAACCCCGGAACUGCCUUUGAUACUGGAAGUCUUGAGUAUGGUAGAGGUGAGUGGAAUUCCGAGUGUAGAGGUGAAAUUCGUAGAUAUUCGCAAGAACACCAGUGGCGGAAGGCGGCUCACUGGCCCGGUACUGACGCUGAGGUGCGAAAGCGUGGGGAGCAAACAGG
RNAcentral lists this ribosomal RNA (254 nucleotides) under uncultured bacterium. Its description in RNAcentral is "partial 16S ribosomal RNA". It matches the Rfam family "Bacterial small subunit ribosomal RNA", at positions 524 to 776 of the family's 1533-position model. The record is from RNAcentral.